Molecule: long non-coding RNA, 765 nt
Organism: Alligator sinensis (Chinese alligator)
Lineage: Eukaryota; Metazoa; Chordata; Crocodylia; Alligatoridae
Exons: 3
Source: RefSeq, a predicted model, not a curated record
AUGUUCCACUAAUCAAGAUAGCCUCUUUUACAAUUCUGUUGUCUGCAGCAGCUCCAGCCUUGAACAAAUGUGCCCUUCUGCGGGAGCUCCUGUGAAAUGGCUGGGUUUGAGGAAGAUAAACAAGCUGUGAUGGGAAGCGGGGGCACGUGCCCCACCCUGAGACCGGUUGCUGCUGACUCCGAUGCUGGCCUUUGUGGGCGGUCACCACUCGCCACCCCACCACCGACACUGCUGCCCAAAAACUGUGCCCCCCCCGUCUCAGGAGGCACCAGUCACCCAUGGUUUUACUGUGUUUACCACUGGAAAUAUUUUCCCUGAAAUUUGAUCUAAAUCUCCUUUGCUGCAAUUUAAACUUAAUGUCUGGUGUCCAGGCUUCCGUGCCAAAAGGGAAUAGUUCUCUCCCUCCUAUGGCAGCCUUUCAAAUAUUUAAAAGCUACGAUCACGUCACCCCUUAAUCCAGGGAUUCCUAAAGUUCCAUCCCAGAGGGACGUCUUGGGUGGUGCGACACGUCAAAGGAGCUGCAUUUGGCUUGCGGGCUACACUUUGCAACCCCCUGGUAACUGUUCCAAAAAAGUAUUACCAGGCCAUGGGCUGCAUUGAAGUGGCUUAUUGGCAACGCUGUGGGAACUUGUUUCUUAAUCUUUUUCUGCAGAUUAAACAUACCUAGUUGAGCUUGUCGUCUACCCCUUUAUCAUCUUUGCCACUUUGCUAUAGGCCACUCUGGUUUCUCCACAUCGUUCUUAAAAUAUGAUGCCCCAAACUAGA